CCUACGGGAGGCAGCAGUGAGGAAUAUUGGUCAAUGGGCUUACGCCUGAACCAGCCAAGUCGCGUGAGGGAAGACUGCCCUAUGGGUUGUAAACCUCUUUUGUCAGGGAGCAACGCCUGCUACGUGUAGCCGGACUGAGAGUACCUGACGAAAAAGCAUCGGCAAACUCCGUGCCAGCACCCGCGGUAAUACGGAGGAUGCGAGCGUUAGCCGGAUUUAUUGGGUUUAAAGGGUGCGUAGGCGGAAUGCCAAGUCAGCGGGAAAAUCGCGGGGCUCAACCUCGCUCCGCCGUUGAAACUGGCGUUCUUGAGUGGGCGAGAAGUAUGCGGAAUGCGUGGUGUAGCGGUGAAAUGCAUAGAUAUCACGCAGAACACCGAUUGCGAAGGCAGCAUACCGGCGCCCAACUGACGCUGAAGCGCGAAAGCGUGGGUAUCGAACAGGAUUAGAUACCCGAGUAGUC
RNAcentral lists this ribosomal RNA (460 nucleotides) under uncultured bacterium. Its description in RNAcentral is "partial 16S ribosomal RNA". It matches the Rfam family "Bacterial small subunit ribosomal RNA", at positions 338 to 795 of the family's 1533-position model. The record is from RNAcentral.